AAUCUUGCUUCGUCGAGAGCAUCCACCCACUGCACCAUCCCCACUGGCUUAUUUUGCAGCAAAUCCAGGAUACAGCUCAGGAACAACCAGAUGGAAGAGAUGCACAGGGCAAGGUGUGGGGAAAGGAUGAGGAGUUUCCCUGCUCUCUGAACGGACCACUCUCCCCAGAUCUCCAUGUGGUCACCAACCCAGAAGCUCUCUGAACCCCAUCCUUUUAGGUUUUCAUGGAGGCUUCAUUACACAGGCUAGGAACUGAUUGCUGCGCGCACCUGUGACCGCCCAGCUCCAGACAAUCAACUAGCCUCCUGCUACGCCCACCAAGAUAGCUGACCACUACCUGCUGUGUCCGUCAAGCACUGUGCCGACAGGGCAAUCUUGUGACUAUUGUGGGAGGGACAUUUCAGUCACAUGUGAAACACCCUGUUUGGGGGUAUAUAACCACUAUGUGCACCCCACUUCUUGGGUGCCCUUUCUUCCUUCGGGAAGAAAGGCCCCGGGCCAUGGUUCCUCAUAAAGCUUUGUUUAAUUUUCUCUUGCUAUUCUGUCUCAUGUGAAUUUAAUUCGUUCUCCAGCCAGACGAACCCAC
This 586-nucleotide long non-coding RNA is filed under the name Equus caballus (horse). RNAcentral describes it as "lncRNA (ENSECAG00000044923.1)". Lineage: Eukaryota; Metazoa; Chordata; Mammalia; Perissodactyla; Equidae. The record is from RNAcentral.